AACGAACGCUGGCGGCAUGCCUAACACAUGCAAGUCGAACGAGACCUUCGGGUCUAGUGGCGCACGGGUGCGUAACGCGUGGGGAUCUGCCCUUUGCUUCGGAAUAACAGUUAGAAAUGACUGCUAAUACCGGAUGAUGACUUCGGUCCAAAGAUUUAUCGGCAAAGGAUGAACCCCGCGUAGGAUUAGCUAGUUGGUGGGGUAAAGCCUACCAAGGCGACGAUCCGUUAGCUGGUCUGAGAGGAUGAUCAGCCACACUGGGACUGAGACACGGCCCAGACUCCUACGGAGGCAGCAGUGGGAAUAUUGGACAAUGGGCGAAAGCCUGAUCCAGCAAUGCCGCGUGAGUGAUGAAGGCCUUAGGUUGUAAAGCUCUUUUACCCGGGAUGAUAAUGACAGUACCGGAGAAUAAGCUCCGGCUAACUCCGUGCCAGCAGCCGCGGUAAU
This 447-nucleotide ribosomal RNA is filed under the name uncultured bacterium. RNAcentral's name for it is "bacterial SSU rRNA". It matches the Rfam family "Bacterial small subunit ribosomal RNA", at positions 29 to 524 of the family's 1533-position model. The record is from RNAcentral.